RNAcentral lists this ribosomal RNA (529 nucleotides) under uncultured bacterium. RNAcentral's name for it is "bacterial SSU rRNA". It matches the Rfam family "Bacterial small subunit ribosomal RNA", at positions 775 to 1297 of the family's 1533-position model. The record is from RNAcentral.
AGAUAAUAGAUACCCGGGUAGUCCCAGCAGUAAACGGUGCGCGUUUGGUGUGAGCAGGUUCGACCCUGUUCGCGCCGGAGCUAAACGCGUUAAACGCGCCGCCUGGGAAGUACGAUCGCAAGAUUAAAACUCAAAGAAAUUGACGGGGGCCCGCACAAGCGGUGGAGUAUGUGGCUUAAAUUCGAUGCAACGCGAAGAACCUUACCUGGGUUUGACAUGCAUCUCUAAGGCGGUGAAAGCUGCCGAGGGUAGCAAUACCCAAUUUGCACAGGUGCUGCAUGGCUGUCGUCAGCUCGUGUCGUGAGAUGUUGGGUUAAGUCCCGCAACGAGCGCAACCCUUGUAUGCUGUUGCCAUGAUUACUCAUGGCUCUCUGCGUAGACUGCCCCGUGAAACGGGGAGGAAGGUGGGGAUGACGUCAAGUCAGCAUGGCCCUUACACCCAGGGCUGCACACGUACUACAAUGCCCAGUACAAUUCGAACCCGUCCCGCGAGGGCUGGGAAAUCAGCGAAAACUGGGCUCAGUUCGGA